This 192-nucleotide unclassified non-coding RNA is filed under the name uncultured fungus. RNAcentral describes it as "sequence contains ITS1". The record is from RNAcentral. Lineage: Eukaryota; Fungi.
UUAACUAUUAUAUAGUACUCAGACAUCACUAACAAACGAGUUUGGGUCCUCUGGCAGGCGCAGUCAGCCGGAGCCAACGCCCUAAGGGGCGGCCUGCCAAAGCAACAAAGGUAUGUAUACACGGUUUGGAAUUACCCAUUUCAAAAAACGGGGCGUUCUUUAAUGAUCCUUCCGCAGGUUCACCUACGGAAA